RNAcentral lists this long non-coding RNA (1731 nucleotides) under Gadus morhua (Atlantic cod). RNAcentral's name for it is "lncRNA (ENSGMOG00000022560.1)". The record is from RNAcentral. Lineage: Eukaryota; Metazoa; Chordata; Actinopteri; Gadiformes; Gadidae.
AUGUUUAAAUACACGGAACCCCGAAAAGUGGCAUUGGGAAUUGAUCAAAACAUGACACAAAAAUUUGCAUACUACAUACCAGUUGCAGAAACUCUGAAGAGCUUUCUACAGUCAGAUUUAUGGAGGAAUACACAGGCACAACAGUUUGGUGAUCCUGAUGUAGAGGUUUUUACCGAUUUAUAUGAUGGACAAAAUUUCAAAUGCCACCAGUUCUUUAAUGAAAACCCUGAAAGCCUCAAACUGAUUUUGUACCAAGAUUCAUUUGAAGUGGUGAAUCCCCUGGGUUCUGGUAAAAAGACGCACAAAGUGCUUGCAGUCUAUCUUUCAUUAGCAAAUUUACCCAUCCAUUUGCGUUCCAAUACUGAUAAUAUGUUUUUGGUCUUGUUAUGUGUUGAGAAUGACUUUAAGCGUUUUGGAAUAGCCAAAGUUUUCUCAGAGUUGUUGGCAGAUCUGAAAUCCUUGGAGACGGAUGGAAUAAAUGUAGAUGGGGAAACAGUAAAAGCGGGUCUUUACUGCAUUGCUGGGGAUAACUUGGGUUCUCAUUGUGUAGGCGGGUUUACAGAAAACUUCAGCACCUCUCAAUAUUUUUGCAGAUACUGUGAAAUCACAAGAACUGAGUUUCAUGCUGAUCCGAAUGCCUGUGGUCCUCCACGCACCCCAGAGACGUAUGACACGGCUGUGGAGGGUCUCCAGGCUGAAGACAUCCAAUGUGUCAGAGGAAUAAAGGCAAACUCUGUCUUUAAUACCCUUGAGUCUUUUCACGUCUCCCAGCCUGGUCUCCCUCCUUGUUUAGGCCAUGACCUCUUUGAAGGAGUCUUGUCAUAUGAUCUAGCACUGUACCUGAAGAACAUUAUAAAAAAGAAAAAAUGGUUCACAUACUCCCUCUUAAACAGGCGCAUCAAGCAGUUUAAGUAUAAAGGAUCUGAAGCGCUCACAAAGCCAUGUGCUGUCAAACCUGACGGAGCAAAGUUAUCAGGGCAAGCCGUUCAAAACUGGAACCUUUUGAGAUUGCUACCAGUUUUGAUUGGUGACAAAGUUCAAAACCAUCAGGAUGAAGUAUGGCAGUUAGCUCUCCAGUUAAAAGACAUUGCAGAUCUUAUUUGUGCUCAGAAAAUGUCCUUGUCGCAGAUAGCAUAUGUUGACAUUUUGAUCCAAGAAUAUUUGGAGAUGAGAAAGCUGUUGUUUCCUGAAAUUCAACUAAAACCCAAGCACCACUAUUUGCGCCAUUAUUCAGCACUGUUGUUGAAAUUUGGUCCAUUGAUGAGGUUAUGGACCCUUAGGUUUGAAAGUAAACACAGUUAUUUCAAAAGAUGUGCCAGACACUUGAAAAUUUUCAAAAACAUUUGUCAAACUUUGUCAGAGCGUCAUCAGAUGUAUCAGGUUUUAGCUGGGCAAGAAUGCGGUACACUACUGCAAGUGAAGGAGAGCUGUGCGUUUUAUCCCAACCUCUACAGUGACACUAUCAAACAUGCAGUCAGGGAGUUAGCCUUUUCAGAAAACGAUACCAAAGUUACCACAGACAUUCAGUAUAAGGGCACUGCAUAUAAAAAAGGACAGUUUCUUGUGUACAGAAAUGAUGAGUACAUGGACUUUGGUGAACUUCUACUCAUCUUGAUUCAAAAUGACACAUCUGUAUAUUUUGAUGGAUAUCCACAAAGGCACCUUCCUCUCAGAAUACCAUCUGUAUUCUGUGACAAAGGACAGUCUUGGGUUACAGUGUAUCAACAUUGA